UACGGGGGGAGCAAGCGUUGUUCGGAUUUACUGGGCGUAAAGGGCGCGUAGGCGGCCAGCGCAAGUCAGUUGUGAAAUCUCCGGGCUUAACUCGGAACGGUCAACUGAUACUGCGCGGCUAGAGUGCAGAAGGGGCAACUGGAAUUCUCGGUGUAGCGGUGGAAUGCGUAGAGAUCCGGAAGAACACCGGUGGCGAAGGCGGGUCUCUGGGCAUCUCCUGACGCUGAGGCGCGAAAGCGUGGGGAGCAAACAGG
This 254-nucleotide ribosomal RNA is filed under the name uncultured bacterium. RNAcentral describes it as "partial 16S ribosomal RNA". It matches the Rfam family "Bacterial small subunit ribosomal RNA", at positions 524 to 776 of the family's 1533-position model. The record is from RNAcentral.